RNAcentral lists this ribosomal RNA (68 nucleotides) under Symbiodinium sp. JCUCS-1. RNAcentral's name for it is "partial 24S ribosomal RNA". RNAcentral also lists the same sequence under 1 other name. The record is from RNAcentral. Lineage: Eukaryota; Dinophyceae; Suessiales; Symbiodiniaceae.
AUGCAUGCCCUUAGCAUGAAGUCAGACAAGAGAACCCGCUGAAUUUAAGCAUAUCAAUAAGCGGAGGA